GGGCGGCUWAACGGUCNYKCUAGAGGGCAGGAGAGGUGCGUGGAAUUCCUGGUGGAGCGGUGAAAUGCGUAGAGAUCAGGAAGAACACCCGUGGCKAAGGCGGCGCACUGGCCUKGCCCUKACGCUKAGGCGCKACAGCGUGGGGAGCGAACGGGAUUAGAUACCCCGGUAGUCCACGCCGUAAACGAUGGGUACUAGGUGUCGCCGGGUCCACCGGGCGGUGCCAGASSUAACGCACUAAGURCCCNGCCUGGGGAGUACGGCCGCAAGGU
Molecule: ribosomal RNA, 272 nt
Filed under: Sulfobacillus sp. BC1
Lineage: Bacteria; Bacillati; Bacillota; Clostridia; Eubacteriales; Clostridiales Family XVII. Incertae Sedis
Description: partial 16S ribosomal RNA
Rfam family: Bacterial small subunit ribosomal RNA
Source: RNAcentral